CGAAGAAGAAGGCGCAAUGUGCCAGAAUGUUGUGAUUUCCUACAGUCGCGAAGGCAACAUGCAUGGCUGUCAUGGCUGAGUGGACUUCCUUGGUGUUUCGGCAUGUUUGCAACCGACAGUAGCCUGCUUUCUUUCCGCCAGGGAGGACAUUGUUGACCAACUCGGCAUCUUUGACACGUCCGUGGGUGGAAAUGACCACACAGGCUGUGAUUAGAAAGAAGACAGGAUGAGGUUGAGGGCACGCGGGUGCUGUUUGCCAGACAGGAGUAAGAGAUAACCGUGACAGCAACAAAGAGUUUCACAAAUUCCUCAGUGAAUUCACCAAGACGUCACAGUGGUGUCAUUGAGUUGGAGAGCUAGCUUGCGCAGCUAGUGUGUCCAUGACGAGGACUUCUGUUUUGCUUGAUCAUCCGCUUUACUGCCUCGUACAGACACCGUUUGGAAAUAAUUAAGGGCGCAUCUUGCAAAUGGACAUGUCGUGUGGACUCCUGCCCAGGCCUCUGCAUGGAAGAGAACCCCGGGGCCAUGUGAGGAGCAGUCAUGCGGAAGAGGAAACCAGGGGAAGUAUCUUUGGCCAGGCAAGUCUGGAUGGUCACGAGGCCAAGAUGGCGACAUGGAUGAGAGGCAACACUUGCAGCAAGAAAAAAAAGCAGCACACCACUGGAAUAUUGUAUCAAAAAAGAAAGGAAGGAGUAUACUGCAAGAAGGACCCAGACGCAAAAGGUGAUAAUCCUGCCACUUGAUAGAUGUGCCUGCAGGCCAAGGAAUAAGUCAUGUGCACGCCGAGGAAACCGGGCACGCAAGUGAGCUAGCUGGUUGCUGUCCUGGACUCUUCCAAACCUUACCUGUGUUUUCCAGACAGUCCCACUAUGCUGUGCACACCAGCACCCCAAGAGAGUGUCUUCAAUAUCCGUCCAUGCACUACUAAGUCGGGCAUCUAUUUGUGGUGGUGUGGUCGAGCGGCGGGGUGGAGGGGCGUGGCGUGUCAGCGGCAGCAGCGAUGACCAAGAAGAACACGGAGUUGGAAUAUAAUUACAACACUUUAUGUACAUAUUUAUAUACAUAUUUAUAAAAUAUUUACAUAUUUAUAUAAUUUGUAACUACAAGCUCCAUUCACACAGAGUCCCAUUGCUUUUAUAAGCGGUCGAGCGAGUCAAAAGCCGGAAAAAAAAAAAUUAUAAAAAAUGUUUUUUCUUUUAUUUUUAUUUUUUGUUUUUUAUUUUUGGCGGCCGUAAUUCUUUCAGGGCGAAAUGAAUGUGUGGGAAACCCUGACAGAUGGACCUAAUGUUGAUCUGGAGAUUUAAAACUUGAAUAAUAAUAAAACAAAAUAAUACUGACUGACACAUUUUAAAUAUUUUUUUUGACCAAAAUCCUUUGGGGUCCUGGGGAUCAAGCCUGAGUGGAGGCCUAAAUGUAUAUUGGUUAUACAUAUAUUGUAUUG
Nerophis ophidion (straightnose pipefish) is the source of this 1441-nucleotide long non-coding RNA. RefSeq lists it as uncharacterized. The transcript is spliced from 8 exons. NCBI's taxonomy places the organism in Eukaryota, Metazoa, Chordata, Actinopteri, Syngnathiformes, Syngnathidae. The record is from RefSeq and is a predicted model, not a curated record.